This 364-nucleotide long non-coding RNA is filed under the name Oryza sativa Indica Group (long-grained rice). Its description in RNAcentral is "lncRNA OsZS97_11G013590". The record is from RNAcentral. Lineage: Eukaryota; Viridiplantae; Streptophyta; Magnoliopsida; Poales; Poaceae.
AUGGUUAAUCUCCCCUUUGCUGACAACAUGGCCCACAAGACGGGACUGGCGCGAUGGGCACAUCGGGCUGGACAUGCCGGAGAUUCGCCCGAUGGAGCUGCCGCGUCCAUGCUGAGGUGGAAGAUCCUCCCGUCGUCAGCGCAAAGGAUGGUCGGCGACUGGACGGGCACCACCACCGCCGAGGGGGCCCCUGUCAUAUCGCGUGGUCAGGUGGCACCCCAGGAAGUCGGCUAUAGGCGGAGAAGCUGCAGCGGCAGAUCGGGCAGAAGCAGGACUCGUGCUCGCAGGAAUGACGGACAGCCAUACUUGUGGUUCUUGCAAGAGAUGGGGAAGGAAGAAUAUAAGGUAAGGUGAAAGGAAGAAG